Molecule: long non-coding RNA, 604 nt
Organism: Trifolium pratense (red clover)
Lineage: Eukaryota; Viridiplantae; Streptophyta; Magnoliopsida; Fabales; Fabaceae
Exons: 4
Source: RefSeq, a predicted model, not a curated record
CAUAACCUGACUCUGUUGCCAUGUAUUAUAGGACAUGGUUUGCCUGUUCUAAAUGAAGAAGGUAAUUUGGCAUCUUCAGAAGCUGACAAUGGAAGUUGGAUCUCUGGAUCUUCAUCUUCUGAGCAGCUUGCAUCUAGUGGGGUUAGCAAAUGCACGCUUUGCCUGAGUAAUCGUCAACACCCAACAGCUACUUCCUGUGGCCAUGUAUUUUGCUGGAACUGUAUCACAGAAUGGUGCAACGAAAAGCCAGAGUGCCCUCUUUGCCGUACCCCUAUAACACACUCAAGUCUAGUUUGUAUUUAUCAUUCAGAUUUCUAGAAUAUGUUUCUCAUGGGCUGUAGUCUUUUGUAAAUGGAAAGAAGAUAGCAUGAAAGGUAAUUGCAGCAAUUUCACAUCAAAAUUGGCUCACCUCUAUGCUGCUACUUCUGUUCAAGCUUAUGAUCUUUCUUAGGCUUCCAUACUGGUGCUAUUUUUGCUACUGUCUAAGAAAAGUUAGCUAUUUCAAAGUUGUAGCUUUGAUUUAUCGCUGAACAAUUUUCAUUGGUGUCAAUAUACUGUCUCAGAUUUGGUAUGCAAUGAAAAGAGAAAGGAAACACACGAGGUG